This 1366-nucleotide long non-coding RNA is filed under the name Dasypus novemcinctus (nine-banded armadillo). RNAcentral describes it as "lncRNA (ENSDNOG00000051565.1)". The record is from RNAcentral. Lineage: Eukaryota; Metazoa; Chordata; Mammalia; Cingulata; Dasypodidae.
CCAGGCCGCCGCGGGGCGCGCCGAGCAGGAAGCGCCAGCUCUCGCCUGGUGCCCGCGCGCCCCUUCCAUCUCGCCCUCCGGCUGCGCCGCUGAGCUGCUGCCCAGAGUCCGCGAUGCAGCGCCCGGCUGGGUGAAGUGGACCCCCAGCACGAGCGGCAGGGAAGGCCAGGAAGGAAGGGCGCGCAGGAGGGGCAGGCGCGGGAGGCGCAGCUCCGGGCGCAGGCUCCUCUGCACGUCCUGGCCCUGCCGGCUCGGGUCCCCACCCCAGCCUCCGCCGACCGCUGGGGAGCUCAGGCUGCAUCGCGGGGGGUUUCUCUGGGGUGCAAAGGGAGCCCCCCUGGCGGCCCCGCCUGCCCGAGUCCUCCCCUCCUCCUCCCACCCGUUCCUGCCUGGCCCAGUCAGGAGCUGACCACCACGUGUUGGUGCAUUUAUUGGGGCUCAGCUGGGGGGACCUGUGCAGGAUCACACCACCAGCUGAAGGAGCGCGGCCCCAAGUCAGUGCUCCCCGUCCAGGGCGCAGAGCCGCAGGGGGCAGAGGCCCUACAGGGGGCUGCCUACGAAGGGGGGUGGGCGUGUCGAGGCCCCUCCUCCACCGAGUGCCCGUCGGAACCCGCCCAAGGAGGGGGUGGUGAUCCCUGGUGUAGUGCUGAUAAAGACCUCUACCCCUGCCCAAAGAAAGAACAAGAGAUCAGGAUGACACCAGCAAAGUGUUGAUCUUCACCAGAUGGCCACAGUCUUACAUCAACAUCCUGCUUGCGAAUUAAUGAACUGGGUUUCAAGCACACCCUGCCCAAACACUCCACAGUCAUCAUAGUCCAGUAGUUCACAUCAUCCCUGGAACUCAGGUACUAACCAUAAGUCAUGUCUGCCUUAUCCCUCCCCAUUCCUCCAUGCCUUCCCUUUGUUUCAAGGAGGCACAUACGGUGCUCCAUCAGGAGGUUCCUUUAAGCAGAAACCUCUUUUUGUGAUACUUCUUCAUUAAAGCAACUUUAGCUCAAUAUACUUGCUCUGUGCCCCCUUUUGUAAGUCUCUUUAUUUUAUUUUCAGCACAACAGUACUUGGCAUACAGAAGUGGGAUCUGAAGGUGGAUGCUGGGAGGAUGCCUCUGAUGCCUCAGAGAUGAGCAAGGUACCUGCAGGAAUCUUUUCCAUUCUGGCCUUUCCAGGGUCCUUCGCUGGCUCACCUGGUUAACCCCUAUGGAUCUCUGAACUCCUGCCACAUCACAUUUGAGGUCAAAAUCCAUUUGGUGAGCUACAAUCUGAUCAGGACCUCUGUCCCAGCCUCUGUUUUCAACAUUAGGUAAGAGAAUUCUCUUCUUUUGCUGUUUCUGUUCCUUUACUGUUUCUCUAGACUUACUAUGGGAAAC